RNAcentral lists this non-coding RNA (28 nucleotides) under Homo sapiens (human). Lineage: Eukaryota; Metazoa; Chordata; Mammalia; Primates; Hominidae. The record is from RNAcentral.
UUGCAGACAGAACAAUGCUCCUCUCUUC